RNAcentral lists this transfer RNA (70 nucleotides) under Dipodomys ordii (Ord's kangaroo rat). It matches the Rfam family "tRNA". From Rfam's summary of the family: Transfer RNA (tRNA) molecules are approximately 80 nucleotides in length. Their secondary structure includes four short double-helical elements and three loops (D, anti-codon, and T loops). Further hydrogen bonds mediate the characteristic L-shaped molecular structure. tRNAs have two regions of fundamental functional importance: the anti-codon, which is responsible for specific mRNA codon recognition, and the 3' end, to which the tRNAs corresponding amino acid is attached (by aminoacyl-tRNA synthetases). tRNAs cope with the degeneracy of the genetic code in two manners: having more than one tRNA (with a specific anti-codon) for a particular amino acid; and 'wobble' base-pairing, i.e. permitting non-standard base-pairing at the 3rd anti-codon position. Lineage: Eukaryota; Metazoa; Chordata; Mammalia; Rodentia; Heteromyidae. The record is from Rfam by way of RNAcentral.
GGGAAUGUGGCUUAGUGGUAGAGUGUUUGCCUAGCACGCAUGAAGCCCUGGGUUCGAUUCCCCAGUACCA